Molecule: transfer RNA, 68 nt
Filed under: Heyerus bilineatus (two-lined robber frog)
Lineage: Eukaryota; Metazoa; Chordata; Amphibia; Anura; Craugastoridae
Description: tRNA-Val
Source: RNAcentral
AAAGCGUAGUUUAGACAAAACCCCUUGCUUACACCAAGAAGUCGCUGAUUAAUCUCGGCCGCCUUGAC